This 65-nucleotide transfer RNA is filed under the name Enterococcus villorum. It matches the Rfam family "tRNA", at positions 5 to 66 of the family's 71-position model. From Rfam's summary of the family: Transfer RNA (tRNA) molecules are approximately 80 nucleotides in length. Their secondary structure includes four short double-helical elements and three loops (D, anti-codon, and T loops). Lineage: Bacteria; Bacillati; Bacillota; Bacilli; Lactobacillales; Enterococcaceae. The record is from RNAcentral. RNAcentral also lists the same sequence under 6 other names.
UGGUAGUUCAGUUGGUUAGAAUGCCUGCCUGUCACGCAGGAGGUCGCGGGUUCGAGUCCCGUCCA